GACGAACGCUGGCGGCGUGCUUAACACAUGCAAGUCGAACGGAAAGGCCCUGCUUUUGUGGGGUGCUCGAGUGGCGAACGGGUGAGUAACACGUGAGUAACCUGCCCUUGACUUUGGGAUAACUUCAGGAAACUGGGGCUAAUACCGGAUAGGAGCUCCUGCUGCAUGGUGGGGGUUGGAAAGUGUCGGCGGUUGGGGAUGGACUCGCGGCUUAUCAGCUUGUUGGUGGGGUAGUGGCUUACCAAGGCUUUGACGGGUAGCCGGCCUGAGAGGGUGACCGGCCACAUUGGGACUGAGAUACGGCCCAGACUCCUACGGGAGGCAGCAGUGGGAAAUAUUGCACAAUGGGCGGACGCCUGAUGCAGCAACGCCGCGUGCGGGAUGACGGCCUUCGGGUUGUAAACCGCUUUCGCCUGUGACGAAGCGUGAGUGACGGUAAUGGGUAAAGAAGCACCGGCUAACUACGUG
This 468-nucleotide ribosomal RNA is filed under the name uncultured bacterium. Its description in RNAcentral is "partial 16S ribosomal RNA". It matches the Rfam family "Bacterial small subunit ribosomal RNA", at positions 28 to 507 of the family's 1533-position model. The record is from RNAcentral.